ACCUCAUGCUGGUCCUUCCCACUCUCUGCUUUUGUGUGCAAAAUUUAGGGGGAAAGAGUCCUUCUAGGUGAGACAUGUUGUUCUUGAAGCUGUGUCUGUGGGGAGUUUUGAGCUGAGCCCAUCUACUGGUCUGAGAUUCAUGGGGAGUGUCAGCCUUUCUGCAAACCUACACAGCUCUCCCAGACUGUUGCUUUAGUUGUUCUCUGUGUGUCUUUCCCCACGGAAACAGGAAUUAAAAAUGCGUGCCAGCUCCUAGGGGGAUACUGCACUUUUUGGAAGUGCAAGUCCGGUACAAGAUUUAUUGGACACUGUUCAGCAUUCACCAUUUGCUGUGAACGUGUGCGGGGUUGAGACCCUGAAAUGUCCCAGCAGGAUGUCCCCCUCGCUUCUGGCUCCUGGAACCAUCUCCUGAGGUCUUCUCCCCUCCCUGCCUCUGCCAUGCCCAGCUGCUGGGACAACAGCAGCGGCAGCUGCUCCUGCUGGGUGCUGCUGGGCUGGAGACAUCUCGUCCCAGCCGUGGGGUCUGUGGGGCAGAGGCUGCUUUUCCCAGCUUGAAUAAAGAUGAGCAGUUUGGCAUUGCA
Long non-coding RNA from Pseudopipra pipra, 581 nucleotides. RefSeq lists it as uncharacterized. The record is from RefSeq and is a predicted model, not a curated record. The transcript has 2 exons. NCBI's taxonomy places the organism in Eukaryota, Metazoa, Chordata, Aves, Passeriformes, Pipridae.